GCGUGAAGCCCCCUCCAAGAUGAGACUUCCCACAGCGCAAGCUGGUAAGACCCCUCAUAGACGAUGAGGUUGAUAGGUUCGGUGUGGAAGCGUGGUAACACGUGGAGCUGACGAAUACUAAUCGGUCGAGGACUUAUCCAC
This 141-nucleotide ribosomal RNA is filed under the name Brevibacillus nitrificans. Its description in RNAcentral is "partial 23S ribosomal RNA". It matches the Rfam family "Bacterial large subunit ribosomal RNA", at positions 2785 to 2925 of the family's 2925-position model. Lineage: Bacteria; Bacillati; Bacillota; Bacilli; Caryophanales; Paenibacillaceae. The record is from RNAcentral.